Molecule: ribosomal RNA, 115 nt
Filed under: Pteropus alecto (black flying fox)
Lineage: Eukaryota; Metazoa; Chordata; Mammalia; Chiroptera; Pteropodidae
Source: RNAcentral
GUCUACGGCCUGCCACCCUGAACAAGCCCAAUGUCUGAUCUUGGAAGCUAAGCAGGGUUGGGCCUGGUUAGUACUUGGAUAUGAGACCACGUAGGAAGACCAGAUGCUAUAGGGA